UGGUCAUUACCAAGGCUUUUAGAAUGCAGUUUUCUCAUAUGCUUGGGACAUGACCAUAUAAAAUUUCCCACUAGGUUUUCUAAUGCUGCUUUGUUAGCAAUCAGCCUAUUGGGGAACAAUA
Molecule: small nucleolar RNA, 121 nt
Filed under: Castor canadensis (American beaver)
Lineage: Eukaryota; Metazoa; Chordata; Mammalia; Rodentia; Castoridae
Description: Small nucleolar RNA SNORA32 (ENSCCNG00000014620.1)
Rfam family: Small nucleolar RNA SNORA32
About the family: ACA32 is a member of the H/ACA class of snoRNA that guide the sites of modification of uridines to pseudouridines.
Source: Rfam by way of RNAcentral